UACGUAGGGGGCAAGCGUUGUCCGGAAUUAUUGGGCGUAAAGGGCGUGUAGGCGGCCCGAUUAGUCCGCUGUGAAAGUCCAGGGCUCAACCCUGGAAUGCCGGUGGAUACUGUCGGGCUAGAGUCCGGAAGGGGCGAGUGGAAUUCCUGGUGUAGCGGUGAAAUGCGCAGAUAUCAGGAGGAACACCAAUGGCGAAGGCAGCUCGCUGGGACGUGACUGACGCUGAGACGCGAAAGCGUGGGGAGCGAACAGG
RNAcentral lists this ribosomal RNA (253 nucleotides) under uncultured bacterium. Its description in RNAcentral is "partial 16S ribosomal RNA". It matches the Rfam family "Bacterial small subunit ribosomal RNA", at positions 524 to 776 of the family's 1533-position model. The record is from RNAcentral.